UACGUAGGGGGCUAGCGUUGUCCGGAAUCAUUGGGCGUAAAGGGCUCGUAGGCGGUUUGUCGCGUCGGGAGUGAAAACCCAGGGCUUAACCCUGGGCUGGCUUCCGAUACGGGCAGACUAGAGGUAUGCAGGGGAGAACGGAAUUCCUGGUGUAGCGGUGAAAUGCGCAGAUAUCAGGAGGAACACCGGUGGCGAAGGCGGUUCUCUGGGCAUUACCUGACGCUGAGGAGCGAAAGUGUGGGGAGCGAACAGG
Molecule: ribosomal RNA, 253 nt
Filed under: uncultured bacterium
Lineage: Bacteria
Description: partial 16S ribosomal RNA
Rfam family: Bacterial small subunit ribosomal RNA
Source: RNAcentral